MicroRNA precursor from Bison bison bison, 56 nucleotides. The record is from Ensembl. Lineage: Eukaryota; Metazoa; Chordata; Mammalia; Artiodactyla; Bovidae.
AGCAUUGGGUUGGCCAUAGGUUCUUUAAAUGAACCUUUUGGCCAACUCAAUACAUU